This 608-nucleotide ribosomal RNA is filed under the name Nocardiopsis flavescens. RNAcentral's name for it is "bacterial SSU rRNA". It matches the Rfam family "Bacterial small subunit ribosomal RNA", at positions 273 to 879 of the family's 1533-position model. Lineage: Bacteria; Bacillati; Actinomycetota; Actinomycetes; Streptosporangiales; Nocardiopsidaceae. The record is from RNAcentral.
GCGAUACGGGUAGCCGGCCUGAGAGGGCGACCGGCCACACUGGGACUGAGACACGGCCCAGACUCCUGCGGGAGGCAGCAGUGGGGAAUAUUGCGCAAUGGGCGAAAGCCUGACGCAGCGACGCCGCGUGGGGGAUGACGGCCUUCGGGUUGUAAACCUCUUUUACCACUCACGCAGGCCCCACGUUUUCGUGGGGUUGACGGUAGGUGGGGAAUAAGGACCGGCUAACUACGUGCCAGCAGCCGCGGUAAUACGUAGGGUCCGAGCGUUGUCCGGAAUUAUUGGGCGUAAAGAGCUCGUAGGCGGCGUGUCGCGUCUGCUGUGAAAGACCGGGGCUUAACCCCGGUUCUGCAGUGGAUACGGGCAUGCUAGAGGUAGGUAGGGGAGACUGGAAUUCCUGGUGUAGCGGUGAAAUGCGCAGAUAUCAGGAGGAACACCGGUGGCGAAGGCGGGUCUCUGGGCCUUACCUGACGCUGAGGAGCGAAAGCAUGGGGAGCGAACAGGAUUAGAUACCCUGGUAGUCCAUGCCGUAAACGUUGGGCGCUAGGUGUGGGGACUUUCCACGGUUUCCGCGCCGUAGCUAACGCAUUAAGCGCCCCGCCUGGGGG